This 468-nucleotide ribosomal RNA is filed under the name Haemophilus influenzae. RNAcentral describes it as "partial 23S ribosomal RNA". It matches the Rfam family "Bacterial large subunit ribosomal RNA", at positions 2303 to 2770 of the family's 2925-position model. The record is from RNAcentral. Lineage: Bacteria; Pseudomonadati; Pseudomonadota; Gammaproteobacteria; Pasteurellales; Pasteurellaceae.
GAGGAGUUCGAAGGUUACCUAGGUCCGGUCGGAAAUCGGACUGAUAGUGCAAUGGCAAAAGGUAGCUUAACUGCGAGACCGACAAGUCGAGCAGGUGCGAAAGCAGGACAUAGUGAUCCGGUGGUUCUGUAUGGAAGGGCCAUCGCUCAACGGAUAAAAGGUACUCCGGGGAUAACAGGCUGAUUCCGCCCAAGAGUUCAUAUCGACGGCGGAGUUUGGCACCUCGAUGUCGGCUCAUCACAUCCUGGGGCUGUAGUCGGUCCCAAGGGUAUGGCUGUUCGCCAUUUAAAGUGGUACGUGAGCUGGGUUUAAAACGUCGUGAGACAGUUUGGUCCCUAUCUGCAGUGGGCGUUGGAAGUUUGACGGGGGCUGCUCCUAGUACGAGAGGACCGGAGUGGACGAACCUCUGGUGUACCGGUUGUAACGCCAGUUGCAUAGCCGGGUAGCUAAGUGCGGAAGAGAUAAGCG